This 560-nucleotide ribosomal RNA is filed under the name uncultured bacterium. RNAcentral's name for it is "partial 16S ribosomal RNA". It matches the Rfam family "Bacterial small subunit ribosomal RNA", at positions 355 to 1375 of the family's 1533-position model. The record is from RNAcentral.
UGGGGAAUAUUGGACAAUGGGCGCAAGCCUGAUCCAGCAAUGCCGCGUGAGUGAUGAAGGCCUUAGGGUUGUAAAGCUCUUUCGCACGCGACGAUGAUGACGGUAGCGUGAGAAGAAGCCCCGGCUAACUUCGUGCCAGCAGCCGCGGUAAUACGAAGGGGGCUAGCGUUGUUCGGAAUUACUGGGCGUAAAGGGCGCGUAGGCGGCCUGUUUAGUCAGAAGUGAAAGCCCCGGGCUCAACCUGGGAAUAGCUUUUGAUACUGGCAGGCUUGAGUUCCGGAGAGGAUGGUGGAAUUCCCAGUGUAGAGGUGAAAUUCGUAGAUAUUGGGAAGAACACCGGUGGCGAAGGCGGCCAUCUGGACGGACACUGACGCUGAGGCGCGAAAGCGUGGGGAGCAAACAGAUUAGAUACCCUGGUAGUCCACGCCGUAAACGAUGAAUGCUAGACGUCGGGGUUGCAUGCACUUCGGUGUCGCCGCUAACGCAUUAAGCAUUCCGCCUGGGGAGUACGGCCGCAAGGUUAAAACUCAAAGGAAUUGACGGGGUCAUAGCUGUUUCCU